CACCUACGGGUGGCAGCAGUGGGGAAUUUUGGACAAUGGGGGCAACCCUGAUCCAGCCAUGCCGCGUGUGCGAAGAAGGCCUUCGGGUUGUAAAGCACUUUUGGCAGGAACGAAACGGUUUGCGUUAAUACCGCGAACUAAUGACGGUACCUGCAGAAUAAGCACCGGCUAACUACGUGCCAGCAGCCGCGGUAAUACGUAGGGUGCAAGCGUUAAUCGGAAUUACUGGGCGUAAAGCGUGCGCAGGCGGUUAUAUAAGACCGAUGUGAAAUCCCCGGGCUCAACCUGGGAACUGCAUUGGUGACUGUAUAGCUAGAGUGUGUCAGAGGGGGGUAGAAUUCCACGUGUAGCAGUGAAAUGCGUAGAGAUGUGGAGGAAUACCGAUGGCGAAGGCAGCCCCCUGGGAUAACACUGACGCUCAUGCACGAAAGCGUGGGGAGCAAACAGGAUUAGAUACCCUGGUAGUCCACGCCCUAAACGAUGUCUACUAGUUGUUGGGAGGGUAACCUCUUAGUAACGCAGCUAACGCGUGAAGUAGACC
Molecule: ribosomal RNA, 541 nt
Filed under: uncultured bacterium
Lineage: Bacteria
Description: bacterial SSU rRNA
Rfam family: Bacterial small subunit ribosomal RNA
Source: RNAcentral